CUUGAUCUUCAGUUUAAGUCAUAUCGACGCCUGACUUUUUCCAGGUAACUCGAAGGAAUUUUCCAAUUAGGGUUUUGGAUCUUUCAAUUCAAGUUAGGGCUUUUGCAAGGUUUCAAGAAUUAACGAACCCUAAUCCAAACUCAGGAGCCAAAACGAUGUCGUACGACGAUGUGGAGAUCGAAGAUAUGGAGUGGAACAAUGAGCUCCAGGCGUACACAUACCCCUGUCCAUGCGGGGACUUGUUUCAGAUCACCAAGGAGGACCUGAAGUUGGGCGAAGAGAUCGCUCGGUGCCCUAGUUGCUCCCUCUACAUCACCGUCGUUUACAACGUCGAAGAUUUCUUAGAUAAGAAAAGUAACAAACCCAUCGAGCCCUCCAAGCAGCAACCCAUUACUGUCGCUUAAACUUUCAGGGAGAGCGAGAGCAAAACAGUAGCUGAUAGCAUGGCAAGAUUUCGGUUCUCACUGGAAGUAGGCUGCACAUUGUUAUGCCCCUCCAACUCAAGUCAAGGAUGUCUAUUUUCUCACCUGAUGGCCUGAUCUGGAGAUGGCAAAGUGGUGGAAGGAUUCUUCCCAAGUUUUGUUAGAUAUAUAACUAGGUAUGAAGUGUGCAAGUAAGGAGUGAGGAAACUUUUUGUAUUCAACCUGCAAUGGAAAAGUAGAAUUUGAUAUGUUGAGGCUAUUGUUUUGAGCAAUUUUAUAACUUAUUGUUUGUCAUUUAUAUUUAGGGCUAAACACAUGUAAUCUGAUACCAGUUAAAUAAAAAAGAGAAAUCAGCUUGGUCAUUUAAAACUA
Molecule: RNA transcript, 794 nt
Organism: Prunus dulcis (almond)
Lineage: Eukaryota; Viridiplantae; Streptophyta; Magnoliopsida; Rosales; Rosaceae
Gene name: diphthamide biosynthesis protein 3-like
Exons: 3
Source: RefSeq, a predicted model, not a curated record